GAGUUUGAUCGUGGCUCAGAUUGAACGCUGGCGGCAUGCCUUACACAUGCAAGUCGAACGGCAGCACGGGAGCUUGCUCCUGGUGGCGAGUGGCGAACGGGUGAGUAAUGCAUCGGAACGUAUCCUGGAGUGGGGGAUAACGUAGCGAAAGUUACGCUAAUACCGCAUAUUCUGUGAGCAGGAAAGCGGGGGACCUUCGGGCCUCGCGCUCUUGGAGCGGCCGAUGUCGGAUUAGCUAGUUGGUGAGGUAAAGGCUCACCAAGGCGACGAUCCGUAGCAGGUCUGAGAGGAUGAUCUGCCACACUGGAACUGAGACACGGUCCAGGCUCCUACGGGGGCAGCAGUGGGGAAUUUUGGACAAUGGGGGCAACCCUGAUCCAGCCAUGCCGCGUGAGUGAAGAAGGCCUGG
Molecule: ribosomal RNA, 409 nt
Filed under: bacterium enrichment culture clone ALO1_GLFRUDD03GRW64
Lineage: Bacteria
Description: bacterial SSU rRNA
Rfam family: Bacterial small subunit ribosomal RNA
Source: RNAcentral